CGAACGAUGAUGCCCACUUGUGGGUGGAUUAGUGGCGAACGGGUGAGUAACACGUGAGUAACCUGCCCUUGACUCUGGGAUAAGCCUGGGAAACUGGGUCUAAUACCGGAUAUGACCUUCCAUCGCAUGGUGGUUGGUGGAAAGCUUUUGUGGUUUUGGAUGGACUCGCGGCCUAUCAGCUUGUUGGUGGGGUAAUGGCCUACCAAGGCGACGACGGGUAGCCGGCCUGAGAGGGUGACCGGCCACACUGGGACUGAGACACGGCCCAGACUCCUACGGGAGGCAGCAGUGGGGAAUAUUGCACAAUGGGCGCAAGCCUGAUGCAGCGACGCCGCGUGAGGGAUGACGGCCUUCGGGUUGUAAACCUCUUUCAGUAGGGAAGAAGCCGCAAGGUGACGGUACCUGCAGAAGAAGCGCCGGCUAACUACGUGCCAGCAGCCGCGGUAAUACGUAGGGCGCAAGCGUUAUCCGGAAUUAUUGGGCGUAAAGAGCUCGUAGGCGGUUUGUCGCGUCUGCCGUGAAAGUCCGGGGCUCAACUCCGGAUCUGCGGUGGGUACGGGCAGACUAGAGUGAUGUAGGGGAGACUGGAAUUCCUGGUGUAGCGGUGAAAUGCGCAGAUAUCAGGAGGAACACCGAUGGCGAAGGCAGGUCUCUGGGCAUUAACUGACGCUGAGGAGCGAAAGCAUGGGGAGCGAAC
This 697-nucleotide ribosomal RNA is filed under the name uncultured Actinomycetes bacterium. RNAcentral's name for it is "bacterial SSU rRNA". It matches the Rfam family "Bacterial small subunit ribosomal RNA", at positions 63 to 773 of the family's 1533-position model. The record is from RNAcentral. Lineage: Bacteria; Bacillati; Actinomycetota; Actinomycetes.